AUGAAUAAUCAUCACUUGAGAAGCUCUGAUUCUGAUCUUCACAUUGCUCCAGAUGUGCAGGAGAAAAACAUUUCUUCCUUCAACGGAUUCCCAAAUCAAGUGCCCCAAUUCUUCAUCUGCAAGAAAGGAGAACAAAGACUUACUCCACAAGGAACUACGAGACUUGAAAAAGGCAACCAGAUUACGCUGAAUGUGAAUCAGGACCUCCUGUGAACCUACAUGGAUUUUAUACCCUUGAAAGAUCUGCAUUUACCAUUCCAGAGAAAUUCUAGAGAAAUGAAGCCAGAUGACUGGAAAAGACUUGACAGCCGAUCCAGCAGAGUGGAUCGUGAGGGAUUGUGUCCUUUCCUACACCAAAGAGUCAGAGAAAUAUGACUUAUGAAAGGAAGAGCCAAGACUUUCUUUCCUGAAGCUUCUCUGGGGCUUAAAGGGGAUAUAGUCAACAAUUUUCAUCAAAGAAUGUUUCUGCUAUUCAGG
This 477-nucleotide long non-coding RNA is filed under the name Monodelphis domestica (gray short-tailed opossum). RNAcentral describes it as "lncRNA (ENSMODG00000045673.1)". Lineage: Eukaryota; Metazoa; Chordata; Mammalia; Didelphimorphia; Didelphidae. The record is from RNAcentral.